UUUUUUUUUCUUUUUUUUUUUCACGGUAGCUGAUUAAAAUGGAUACUCGGGGUUUCUUGUCCAUAUACAUUAUUGAAAAGCAAUUAGCAUAGUGGAUUUAUUUUGGGUUGUAACUUAAAUGUUAUAAUGCUUUAAAUAGGUCUUUUGUUUUGCAGUUGUUCAUUUUCAAUAAUGAUUUACUAAUAAUAGCUGGAUACUGGAGUAGAUUAUUGUACAGAAUGGUCAUAACAUGUUUUGAGUUUUAAUUUUGAAAUAGCUUCUAUUUUUUCAUGGUGAGUAUUAG
Molecule: unclassified non-coding RNA, 283 nt
Filed under: Hevea brasiliensis (rubber tree)
Lineage: Eukaryota; Viridiplantae; Streptophyta; Magnoliopsida; Malpighiales; Euphorbiaceae
Source: RNAcentral